Molecule: transfer RNA, 43 nt
Filed under: Linum littorale
Lineage: Eukaryota; Viridiplantae; Streptophyta; Magnoliopsida; Malpighiales; Linaceae
Description: partial tRNA-Leu
Source: RNAcentral
AAAAUCCGUCGACUUUAGAAAUCGUGAGGCCCCUCUAUCCCCA